Molecule: long non-coding RNA, 221 nt
Filed under: Elaeis guineensis (African oil palm)
Lineage: Eukaryota; Viridiplantae; Streptophyta; Magnoliopsida; Arecales; Arecaceae
Description: long non-coding RNA (EGUI_LNC014888)
Source: RNAcentral
GAAAGCAGUUCUACUAACUAUGGAUGAGCAAGGGAUAAAGCAUGAGGAGUAUCUCAGCAACUUUCAGAAGAUCCUCAUCGAUCUCUUCAGCAUUGGUGAGAAAGUUAAGGAGAAGAUCAAAACGUUGAUCUUGCUUAUGUCGCUUCUCCUUUCUUUUGAGUCCUUGGUGACUACUCUUCUUGUGAGGAAGAGCACCAUCAAGAUAAAAGAGAUUACUUCUG